Molecule: non-coding RNA, 370 nt
Organism: Coriobacterium glomerans PW2
Lineage: Bacteria; Bacillati; Actinomycetota; Coriobacteriia; Coriobacteriales; Coriobacteriaceae
Rfam family: Bacterial RNase P class A
About the family: Ribonuclease P (RNase P) is a ubiquitous endoribonuclease, found in archaea, bacteria and eukarya as well as chloroplasts and mitochondria. Its best characterised activity is the generation of mature 5'-ends of tRNAs by cleaving the 5'-leader elements of precursor-tRNAs.
Source: Rfam
GAAGCGGGCCAGACGAUCGCGCGCGGCUGAGCGAGAUCUCACCGCGUGAGGAAAGUCCGGGCUCCACAGGGUAGGAUGCUGGCUAACGGCCAGGCGGGGCGACCCGACGGAAAGUGCCGCAGAAAAGAAGACUCCCACCGACCGGCCCUUUGGCCGCGCCAAGGGAAAAGCUGAAACGGUGGUGCAAGAGACCACCAGCAUCGCGGCGACGCGAUGGCUUGGCAAACCCCAUCCGGAGCAAGCGCAAAUAGGGGCGCUAUGGUGUGACCCGCACCGCGCUCGGGUAGCGUGCACAGAGCUGCGUGGCAACGCGCACGCCAAGAUAAAUGAUCGUCCGCGACAGAACCCGGCUUAUCGGCCCACUUCGCAU